AUGCUGGGUUAUAUCACCCUACUUCUCACCAUCCUGCUCCCAGCAGUACAGACAGCGCUCACCAUGGACCAGCCGGUGGUCUCCAUCACCAAACAGACGGGGAAAACAGCAUCACUUCCCUGUGAGUUUUCUGGCCAAAGCAUCACCUACAUCCACUGGUAUCGCCAGCAGCCUGGGAAGGCUCCCCAGCGCCUGCUUUACUGUAAGAUGGCCACAUCUCAACCCACUCUGGAUUCAGGAUUCAGCUCAGGCAAAUUCUCUACUUACAAGGCCAAAGAUCAAAGCUGCACUCUGAGUGUAAGGAAACUAGAAGUGAAUGAUGCGGGCACCUAUUACUGUGCCAGCUGGGACUCCACACUCUCCCCCAUGGCCAACAAGCAUUUAGUGACCAUAUGA
Tachyglossus aculeatus (Australian echidna) is the source of this 396-nucleotide non-coding RNA. The record is from the annotation of a RefSeq genome assembly. NCBI's taxonomy places the organism in Eukaryota, Metazoa, Chordata, Mammalia, Monotremata, Tachyglossidae.